RNAcentral lists this ribosomal RNA (253 nucleotides) under uncultured bacterium. Its description in RNAcentral is "partial 16S ribosomal RNA". It matches the Rfam family "Bacterial small subunit ribosomal RNA", at positions 524 to 776 of the family's 1533-position model. The record is from RNAcentral.
UACGAAGGGGGCUAGCGUUGUUCGGAUUCAUUGGGCGUAAAGGGUGCGUAGGCGGCGGGGCAAGUCUGAUGUGAAAUCCCGGGGCUCAACCCCGGAACUGCAUUGGAUACUGCCUUGCUUGAGUACUGGAGAGGAGACUGGAAUUUACGGUGUAGCAGUGAAGUGCGUAGAUAUCGUAAGGAAGGCCAGUGGCGAAGGCGAGUCUCUGGACAGUUACUGACGCUGAGGCACGAAGGCCAGGGGAGCAAACGGG